RNAcentral lists this ribosomal RNA (460 nucleotides) under uncultured bacterium. Its description in RNAcentral is "partial 16S ribosomal RNA". It matches the Rfam family "Bacterial small subunit ribosomal RNA", at positions 338 to 795 of the family's 1533-position model. The record is from RNAcentral.
CCUACGGGAGGCAGCAGUGAGGAAUAUUGGUCAAUGGGCGCAAGCCUGAUCCAGCCAUGCCGCGUGUGGGAUGAAGGCUCUCUGGUUGUAAAACACCUUUUAUGUGGACAUAAAGUGAGGAGCUAAUUCCUUUUUGUAUGUACCAUAUGAAUAAGCAUCGGCUAACUCCGUGCCAGCAGCCGCGGUAAUACGGAGGAUGCGAGCGUUAUCCGGAUUUACUGGGUUUAAAGGGUGCGUAGGUGGUUAAUUAAGUCAGCGGUGAAAGUCUGGGGAUGAACCAUAAAAUGGCAGUCGAAACUGGUUGACUUGAGUAUAUUAGAGGUAGGUGGAAUGCGUGGUGUAGCGGUGAAAUGCAUAGAUAUCACGCAGAACUCCGAUGGCGAAGGCAGCUUACUAAACUAUAACUGACACUGAAGCACGAAAGCGUGGGGAGCAAACAGGAUUAGAUACCCCAGUAGUC